GACGAACGCUGGCGGCGUGCUUAACACAUGCAAGUCGAACGGUGAAGCGCCUUCCUUUUUGGUGGGUGUGGAUGAGUGGCGAACGGGUGAGUAACACGUGAGUAACCUGCCCCCUUCUUCUGGAUAACCGCAUGAAAGUGUGGCUAAUACGGGAUAUUCUGGGUCUGUCGCAUGAUGGGUCUGGGAAAGAUAUUGUUUCGGUGGGGGAUGGGCUCGCGGCCUAUCAGCUUGUUGGUGGGGUGAUGGCCUACCAAGGCGGUGACGGGUAGCCGGCCUGAGAGGGUGGACGGUCACACUGGGACUGAGACACGGCCCAGACUCCUACGGGAGGCAGCAGUGGGGAAUAGUGCACAAUGGGCGCAAGCCUGAUGCAGCGACGCCGCGUGGGGGAUGGAGGCCUUCGGGUUGUGAACCUCUUUCGCCAGUGAAGCAGGCCUGCCUCGUUUGUGGGUGGGUUGACGGUAGCUGGAUAAGAAGCGCCGGCUAACUACGUG
Molecule: ribosomal RNA, 494 nt
Filed under: uncultured bacterium
Lineage: Bacteria
Description: partial 16S ribosomal RNA
Rfam family: Bacterial small subunit ribosomal RNA
Source: RNAcentral